UGGGGAAUAUUGCACAAUGGGCGCAAGCCUGAUGCAGCCAUGCCGCGUGUAUGAAGAAGGCCUUCGGGUUGUAAAGUACUUUCAGUCGGGAGGAAGGUGUCAAGGUUAAUAACCUUGGCAAUUGACGUUACCGACAGAAGAAGCACCGGCUAACUCCGUGCCAGCAGCCGCGGUAAUACGGAGGGUGCAAGCGUUAAUCGGAAUUACUGGGCGUAAAGCGCACGCAGGCGGUUUGUUAAGUCAGAUGUGAAAUCCCCGGGCUCAACCUGGGAACUGCAUCUGAUACUGGCAAGCUUGAGUCUCGUAGAGGGUGGUAGAAUUCCAGGUGUAGCGGUGAAAUGCGUAGAGAUCUGGAGGAAUACCGGUGGCGAAGGCGGCCCCCUGGACGAAGACUGACGCUCAGGUGCGAAAGCGUGGGGAGCAAACAGG
This 429-nucleotide ribosomal RNA is filed under the name Chloroflexota bacterium. RNAcentral describes it as "Chloroflexi bacterium partial 16S ribosomal RNA". It matches the Rfam family "Bacterial small subunit ribosomal RNA", at positions 355 to 776 of the family's 1533-position model. Lineage: Bacteria; Bacillati; Chloroflexota. The record is from RNAcentral.